RNAcentral lists this long non-coding RNA (7639 nucleotides) under Sus scrofa (pig). RNAcentral's name for it is "lncRNA (ENSSSCG00000061791.1)". Lineage: Eukaryota; Metazoa; Chordata; Mammalia; Artiodactyla; Suidae. The record is from RNAcentral.
CGGGCGGGUUUAUUAUUGAGCCCGGCGUCCCGCCCGCGGUACUUCUUGUCCAGACCGUUGAGCUACGAUUCUGAAGGCAGGGCGACGCGGAGACCGAAAGCACCCAGACGCGGCGGUAAUCGAGGCAGCGACGUGAGAGCCGUGACGGAGUGGCCUGGGCGAGGGAGGGGCAGGGAGGGUGGGGUCGGGCCAAGGACGGUGGGGUUGGGGGUGUGCAACCGCACAGCUCGGAAGGUACUCAGCCAAAACACCCUGGGCUGGCACUGGGUCCCACUGUCUUAGUCGAAAUCGCACACCUAGUCUCAGAACUUAGUGAUGCUCAGGGGAGUUUUUAAUGUCUCCUUGCAGAAAGAACUCAGUGAAAGAUAAAAUGACAGUGAGAAGCGGAUCUACUGCAUAUUCGUAGACAGAAUGCAGUCCCUCUCAAGAGGCUUGAGAGCAGCCCCAAAACAUGGGAUCUUUAGUUUUUAUGGCCUGGGUAACUUCAUAGACUAUUCCAGGUAUCUUGAGGAGAGGCAGAGAUUUCAAGGAACUGGGCCACCGCCCACGUUUUGGCUUUUUAUGGUCAGCCUGGAUCUGUCGUGGCGCCUAUGGGUGUAUCAUUUAGCAUGCUAUUGUAUUACAAGGAGCAGAUAGUGAGGCUCAGUGUCUUCUAAAAGUCAAAUCUUCUGCCUCAUUGGUUCGUGGACCUAGUUGGUUCUAACCAGUUUUUGUCAAAUCCUCAAGGGCUAUUUUAUUCUCUAAGGGUUAUGUCCUGCCCCCUUCCCUCCUGUUUCAUUUGCCACUCAGAGAUUUUACUCCCAUAUUCUUAUGGCAAGAUAGUCCAUCUUCUGUGACUGCUUCAGAGCUGAGUAGGGGCAUUAGCCCUGCCUGGCCGGCCUGGAGGAGCCCAGGGAGUCUUCCUUUUCAUCCCAUUUGGGACCCUCUUCUGGGGCUUGCUUUCCUACCUUGUUCGGCAUGGUCUCUCUCUCACCUGUUUUUACACUCUUUUGGGGAAGGAUUUUUUGAAUGUCAUGCCUAAACUGCACCCCCGUCAUUGCCAGACUCAGUGCUUCUGUGCCAGGAAAAAUUCACAGGCCCCCUUAAGUCUUAUUUUUGUUGUCAAGAAAACAGGGCGAGUGACUCUGGAUUCUUCUGUUGCCUAGUCUCCCACCUCCCCCUCUGUCCACAGCUCUCUUACAAGGAUGUCAGCACCCUUUGGCUCUCAGGCUCUGACCCUUCCAUUGCACCCAACUCCAGUUCCUCCAAGAGUCACUCUUUCCACCCCCCGGACCCCCUUCACUUCAGGCCUUGGCUGCUUACUCCCUCCUGCGAACAGCCUUCAGGGCUGGUCUGUUCCAUGCAGCCCAUGUCCUGAAUAUUUUAGGGCCCAGUUCCAGGGGAUACACACCAAUAUAAGAAAAAUAAUCAUAGGACAUAAUUUUAUAGUCAAAAUACCGCCCCCCCCCCAAGGAAACUGUGACAACUGCAGUGUUUUUUCCAACAUAAAGAACUAAGUUCAACCAAAGACGUCUGGUUCAAAGUCGAUGGGGAUCUAGGGGACGCCCUGCACCCCUUCCAGUUUAAAGCCUCCUGGUAAAUUUUUCUGGGCUGUCAGGUUCUCCCCCAUGGAGAGUCCCUUGUCUCCUGGCUGCAACUUGGGAGGAUUCCUCCCUCUUCUACCUUCUAGACAAUCCUCUUUUACCUCCCCCAGUGCUGAGGGGGAAGCCUCUCCUGCUCCUACAAGUCCCCCUACUUCUCCAGGUUCCCCUGGCCAGUCCCAAUCCCUGCCUCCCUGUGCCCUCUCUACCAACCAGUCCCCCUGGGGGAUCUUUAGCCGGCCUUCCUGUCACACCUUCCAGGAUCAGGGAGAGUGUCCCCUCGUGGGGAAGCGGCAGGUGGCAAGGGCACCGUCCAAGUACAGGUGUCCUUCUCCCCGACCAGGUGAGCCCAGUGUAAACACAGUCUGGGCCAUUUUUCUUAGGAUCCUUUCAGGUUUACUGAAGGCUUUCAAGCCCUGAGCCUGACCUUUGAUUCAACAUGGAAGGACAUCCAAAUAGCCUGUCUGCCUGUUGUGUCCACAAGAAGCAGAGGGUUUGGGCAGCAGCGUGCAGGCACGCUGACCAGCUCCACAGGGGCCAACCCAACGUUUAUGAUGUGGGAGGGGACAGUCCCAGAUGAGGGGCCCGCUUGGGGUUACACUUCCCUGGGGGGACUAGGGCCAGGAACCACGUAGUCCACUGCCUCUUAGAAGGAACGAGAGGGAACUACAUCCAGUCUCUUGGGACAGACCAUGAUGGACGAUAAUAUAAGAAAAGGAAUAUAUGCCCAGGUCACUUUGCUGUCCAGCGGAAAUUGACACAACAUUGUAAAUCAACCAUACUUUAAUUUUAAAAACAAAAUCAAGAGUUCCCAGCAUGGCACAGCAGAAAGAAAUCUGACUAGUAUCCAUGAGGACUCAGGUUCGAUCCCUGGCCUCCAUCAGUGGAUUAAGGAUUCAGCGUUGCCAUGUGCUGUGGUGUAGGUUGCAGACGCAGCGCCAGAUCCCUUGUUGCUGUGGCUGUGGUGUAGACCAGCAGCUGCAGCUCCGAUUCACCCCCUGGCCUGGGAACCUCCAUAUGCCACAGGUGCAGCCCCCCACCCCAAAAAAGGAAAAAGGAAUGAAAAAAUGCAUCAGGAAACCAACCAACUAUGAAAAGGUCAAGGAAGUGACCCAAGAGAAGGAAGAAAAUCCAGUUUUCUUUCAAGGAUGGUAUGCGGAGGCUUUCAGAAAAUUAACUAACACCGACCCCUCCACUCCCAAGGGUCAGUCCUUGCUGGGACAACAUUUUAUCAACCAGUCUGGGAUUUAUUAGGCAAAAGCUACCAUCAGCCCACAAACCCCUGUGCCUCAACUCAGAGGUAGCCUUUGGGGCAUUUAAUAAUUGAGAUCAAGCUGAGGAGGAGGAAAGAACUCAGUGUGAAAAAGGCAGGCCAAGGCUCAAGCUAAACUCAUCACCAUUGCUGUCAGCCUGGCCUUGCAACCUGAGGGCAACCCCAGGGGACCUAGAAGCGUCAACCAUUGGUCUGGAGGCAAGAUCAACAAGGCGGGGGCUCUUCAAAUGCAAGUCAACCAACCACUGGGCCCGCGAAUACCAGAAGGAGCCCACCUGGGCCAUGCCCAGUCUGCACACAAACCAGUCACUGGAGGUGGGACCAUGCUUGGUCCCGAAGGGGUAGGGGGCUCCCACUCCUGAACCAGCCAUGCUGGACAGCUGAGGGGGCCUAGGAUUCUGGCAGCUCUCCCACCCCCCACGAGAUCUGCACAGAGGAGCCCCAGGCGGUUCUUGGCAUGGCAGGUAAGAUGGAUUUUUCAGUCAAUAUGGCGAGCCACCUGCUCUGUCCUGAUUUCUCACAUUGGACCUCUUUCCUCGAGAAGCUGUGCCCCGACUGGUAUCCGAUGGAAAGCCUCACACCUGUGACCUCACUGGAGUCUCACUUGCCAAUUUCAGCGACAUCUGCAUUCACACACCCUUUUGGUUGUCUCUGCGGGUCCUACCCCACUUCCGAGGGAGACCCUCUGGGCUCCCUCGGGGCCAUGUUACAGUUAGGAGGGCCGGACACUGCCUCAUCCUGUCCUGCACAGGGCAGGUCCACAGGAAGGGCAAGGACCCGUUCCCAGCCACAUGCCACAAGCAGGGAAACCUGCGCUUUGGGACAAAGGAGUUCCUGGGAGCUUAGAAACUGACAGAACAGUGUGAACCAACUACAAUGGAAAAAAUAAAAAUCAUUGUAAAAAAUUUUUAAAAAGGAGUUCCCAGGAAAGCCAUAUGCACCAGCCUGUAAAAAUUAGCCUGAAGCCUCAGGCCACUUACCCUAGCGAGAGACAGCACCAUAGAAGCUUGGAAGCAAAAAGGGUCACAACCCCUCAUAGGUAAAUUCUUAAAACAUGGCCUCUUGGAGUUCCUGUUGUGGCUCAGCAGGUUAAGGACCUGACUAGUGUCCUUAAGGACACAGGUUCCUUCCCUGGCCUCGCUCAGUGGAUUAAGGAUCCAUUAUUGCCUCAAGCUGCAGUUUAUGUUCCAGAUGUGGCUUGGAUGCAGCAUUGCUGUGACUGUGGUAUAGACCAUAGCUGCAGCUCCAUUUGACCUCUGGCCCAGGAACUUCCAUGUGCUGCACACAUGGCCCUUAAAAAAAAAAGAAAAAAAGCCUCUUGGUGCCCUGUCAUCCUCCUUGCAGCACCCCUGUUCUGUCCAAUGCUGAGUCUGCUGGAGACAUUGAAAGGUGCAAGACCUCAGAACGUAAAUGAUGCCGUGGUCCCUACACCCCCCCUUGUGGCCAGUCCUCAAACAUACUAGUCCCUGUCCCCGAGGAUGCUGAACGGUCCCCGCUGCUCCACCUCAGCAUGCCUUUUGCAUCCUGGUUCAUCCCUCUGCAUGGCACCUGUUUGCCUUGAGGAGACUAACUCUCACUCCGGCCACAUGCAACAAUAUCCCUGGACAGCCCUGCCUCACAGUUUCAGGAUGGCCCACACCGCUUCGCCUCAGCCCUAGGAAAAGGACUAAGGAAAAUACACCUAAAAGAUGGGGCAAUUCUACAAUAUGCAGAUGAUAUAUUAACAGUGGAGGCCUCAGAUCAGAACACCACUGAGUAUUAAUUUCCUCGGGGCUCAGGGUUACAGCGUCUCCUAGAAAAAGGCACAGAUCUCAAAGCAGCAGGUUAAAUACCAGGUACAUUAUAGAGCUUGGAAGCAGGCGGCCAUCUCCACAUAGGUAACAAGCGGCGUAAGGUCUAGGUGUCCCAAAGACCAGGAAACAUCUCUGGACCUUCUCGGGUAUGGCAGGUUUUGCAGAAUCCGGAUUCCAGGGUUUGGGCUAAUGGCUAAGCCCCUGUAUGAAGCCACUAAAGGCUCAGAUUCAGAACCAUUGCUUUGCACCAGGGAACAAGAAAAGCCUUUUCACCGUGUCAUAAACAGGCCCUCACCAGAGCUCCUGCUCGGGUCUCCCCGAUUUAAAAAAGCCAUUCAUCUCAUACGUGGCUGAAAAGCAGGACAGCUCCCGGGGCACCUAAUGUAGAAACUAGGAGAAGUUCCUCAGCCAAUAAGUUACUGUUCCAAACAACUGGACUCAGUGGCCUGAGGUUGGCCUGGCCGCCUCCAGGCAAUAGCUGCCGCCACUUUGCUAAUGCACAAAGCUAACAAGCUCACUUGGGGCAGCCACUGAAGUCCAGACCCCUCGUCAAGUCCAAGGGAUUCUAGAGACUACAAGCCACCACUGGCUAACUGGAGGCUGCCUUCCUAAGUACCAGGCUUUACUCCCUGACUCAGAGGUAACGCUCAACCUGACACACCUGCAACCUGUCUACACGGAUGCCUGCCGAAAGCACGAAGCUCACAUUCCUGCCUUGAAAGCCUUGGCCGGGUUUCUGCCCGUAGGCCUGGCCAGCAGACCAGGCUGCAGAAAACCCCGAGGAGGAAGGGUUUACUGACCCCCGGGGGUUUCACAAAGCCUCCGGAGGGGAGGUUGUGCUGUCCUGAGCACUCGUGAUAGAGAACUGAAACCUUCCCACCCAGCACUUCCACCCAAACGCCUGAACUGACAGCUCUAACUUAGCCCUCGGCCUGGCCUGGCGGGGAAAAAAAGUUACACAUGGACUAGAAAGACGCCUUUCUGGUCCGACAUGCCCACGGCUAUCGGGGAAGGAAAGAGGGCUUUUGCCUGCAGAGACUUCCCCUGUAAGUUACAAACCCCUUAACACACAAGCUCCAGUAAAAUACCAGCCCCUGUAAAACACAGGGCUGAGAUUGUACAUUAUAGAAGCAGCUGGAAAACUAAAACAAGUAGCAGUUAUUCAUGGCCUCGGGCCCCAAAAGGGACUCUCCCAAAGUGCCCAAGGGAAAAAUGAGCAGACGGGGACACACAGAGAGCAGCCCUGAUGCCCACAACAGAAGUGGCAUCGAUCCAACCCCCAGCCCUCCUAACAUGCUACCUAGGGGGACUCAGCUGCUGAAGAGACCUGGGUGCGAGACAGAGGGGGAAGUGAGGGGCGGGCUGGUGGCACGUGGACCAGAGAUUGCUCACCCCUCUGCGGGCCAGUGGGAAGUCACCGAAGGGCUGCACGGCUCUCCAUCGGGGCAGAGAAGCCGUGUCUCCAACGGUCUCUCAGCUUUUCACAGGCAAAGGGCUUCCAGAUACCAAUCAAAAGAGCUGCCUGAGGUGUUCCCAUUGUGGCUCAGCAGUAACGAACCCGACGAAUAUCCAUGAGGACGUGGGUUCCAUCCCUGGCCUCGAUCAGUGGGUUAAAGGAUCCCACGUGGCUGUGGCUGUGGUGUGGGCCAGCAGCUGUAGCUCUGAUUCGACCCCUAGCCUGAGAACUUACAUUUGCCUCAGGUUCAGCACCCCUCCCCAAAAAAAGAGUUACUUGAUAGUUUCCUGGUGGUUUAUUGAGUUAAGGAUCCAGCAUCACUGCUGUGGCUCAGGUUGCUGCUGUGGCACAGGCUCAGUCCCUGGCUAAGGAACUUCCACGUGCCGCAGGCACAGACAAAAAAAGGUCACUCAGCCUGCACCCUCUGUGUCACCCAUAAUUCUGGAGGCAACCUCAAGCCCCCCACUUCUGUUAGCCCAGUCCAGCGACAAGGGAUUAAUCCAGGAGAGAACUGGCAAAUAGAUUUUACACAGCUCUUCACAAGCUCCGAAUACUCAUUGGUCCCUGUAGGUGACUUCGCGAUGGGUAGAGCCCUUCCCCAGCAGGACAGAAAAGGCAGCUGAUGUGGCUAGAGCGCCUCUGCAGGGGAUCGGCCCUCGGUUCCAGUUGCCCUGCCACCUGCAGAAUGACAGUGGACCCUUGUUAAUAGCAAAGGCCACCCGACAUCUCUGACAGGCCCUAGGAAUUAAACACCACCUCCAUUCGUCCUGGAGACCCGUUCUCAGGAGAGGUGGAACAGGCUGAGCAAACCCUGAAGAGAACCUUGGGCCAGCUCUGCCAGGAAACCUCAGAGCCGUGGUACUGCCUGUUUCCGGUCGCCCUCUCAAAGGUUGGCAAGCCCCUUAAACAAGUGAAGUCGAGCCCCUCUGGCAUGACGUGUGGAAAGCCAUUCCUCACCCUGGACACGCCAUCUGACCCAGACUCUCAAGCUCAUCUUAAAUACAUCCUUAACCCGGACUGGGUCCAGAGCGCCACACAGGAACAUGGGAGCAGAGGAGUUCCCACUGCGGCUUCAGUGGGUUGGGAACACAACUAGUAUCCAUGAGGAUGUGGGUUCAAUCCCUGGCCUUGCUCCGUGAGUUAAGGAUCGGGCGUUGCCACGAACUGUGUUGUAGGUCACAGACACAGCUCAGAUCCUGCGUUGCUGUGGCUGUGGCGUAGGCCAGCAGCUGUGGUUUAGAUUUGGCCCCUAGCCUGAGAACCUCCAUAUGCCUCAGGUAUAGCCCUUAAAAAAAAGAGUUCCCAUCAUGGUGCAGCGGAAACAAAUCCGGCUAGGAACCAUGAGGUUGCGGGUUCGAUCCCUGGCCUCGCUCAGUGGGUUGAGGAUCCGGUGUUGCCAUGAGCUGUGGUGUAGGUCGCAGAUGCGGCUCAGAUCUAAUGUGGCUGUGGCUGUGGUGUAGGCUAACAGCUGUAGCUCCGAUUCGACCCCUAGCCUGGGAAUCUCCAUAUGCUGCAGGUGCAGCCCUCAAAAGACAAA